UUCUCUCCUCAAUCCAUUCAUUUGUCUCGUUUUCCAGAAAUCAUCAUCCCUUUAAUUUUUCAAUAAAAUCAUCACUUCUAACCUUCAAAUAGCAAACAAAAUUGUAAACAAAACUAUUAAUUCUGCUAACUCAGUAUGGUGUGUUCUUGCCCCUUCCUUUUUGCUGAACCAUGCUUCAUCUUCUCUCCCAAACAUUAUUUCCUACGUGGUUUCACCACACAAUCCAAGCAAUACUGAACAAAACAAUGAAUCUCAACCAUUUAUAAGUGAACAUUUGCAUUCAAAUCUGUUAAGUUUUUUAUGUUAACUUUCUGGAUCUGUAAGGUUUUUGUAUCGAUUUUUUACUCCCAAACCCGAUACUAACCACCUGUCAAACCGUCGAACCCGCCAAACCGAAACUGCCGUAACCGAAGACUCAAAACGGAUGGGAACGGUUGGUAGUGUUUCAACCGUCGGUUGAUUCGGUUUCGGAUUUUGAGCCCGAAUUCCGACCGAAACCGGCCGAUGUCCAACCCUAAAUUCAAACACUGCAUAAGAGAAAUAAGAGAAUGAUCAAUGAUUAUAAAAAUAUGUCUUAUUAGUAGUAAACCCUAGACCAAAAUUGAUACUCGAAGUUGAUGAAACUCGAACAAGAAAAUGGUUGAACUCGUAAUAAAAUGUAUGGUGUAUUUGCAAACACUUCACUGCUAGUCAUCUUCUAAGUAUAAUAGCUCAAUAUAAUGUGUAUAUUUCUCAAAGUGCAAGCAUCCUUUUAGAAAUAAAGUUUCAUGAGAAUUAAAGUAAAUUUUGUUUAGGCCGUUGAAUCAUUCUUGACGUGAUUCACGGGUUAGUGUCUGAUCAUGCAGUGCUAGAGUGUGCUGCUAGUGCAAUUUUGUAGUGCGUUCCACUGGAGUAGAAUCCAUUACGAAUUGGGCUUGGUCAAAUAUGGAACAGUAUCUUAGUUAUUUUAAUUUUAUGUAUUUUCUAUUUUUUUUUUCAUGAACAUUCAUCUAAACAAUAGCAUAAAUGAUAAAUGAAAUGGGAUACAGAGCGUAGUCCUUUUUUUAAAAAUGUUUUUUAUAUCAGGAUAGUCCUUAUCUUGUUAUGUUACUUGCAAAUUUUCUAGAUUAUAUUUUUUAAACAGUUCUUUAUACGAUGUCGGCAACUGUAUCCUAAAAUAUAAAAAAAAUAUAAAAAAAACCUCUAUUUAUCUCCCAAAAGAACUCUCCAUUUAUUAAAUUAUUUUAUGGAUGCACACAUGUACUGGAUUUUUUAUAUUUUUAUAAAGUGAUCUUUCUUUUUAAAUUGAAUUCAAUGUAAAAGAAAAGAAAUUCAAUAUGAAUCGUAUUAUCAAAAUUAAAUUAUUUAGUGAGAUUAUUAUAAAAUGAUAAAAAUAUUUAAAAAAAAGUAUCGGAAUGUAUUAAUGUAAUAAAAAAAAGUAUUUUAUACCUCCACUUGUGUGUGUGAGUUUAUAAUGGCUUUGCCAUUUCGUCUAUCUAAAAAAAAAAAAAAGAAUGACAGAAAGUUUAUCUUGCUUGCAAAUGAAUAUAUGAUACUUCAAGCUACUUAUGAUGACGUAGAGUGAUUUGGUAGUUAUCCUUUGUGCUCCACCAACGCCAUCCAGCUGCAGAUUGUGAUAAAGAAUUCCAUUACGGAUAAAAAGGUUUCUAUUGGAUCAUAAAAGCUUCCAUAAUGAAAAUUUCAUCACACGUCGUGCUAUAUUUACUGUAACUAACUAAUGACCAUAUCAAACUCACCUGUUUUCAUGAGUGCUUUGACGAUGAUGGAUGCAGGUCAAGUUGAUGCUCUAAGACUUUGUAAAGAGAUGGGGAAUCACCUCUUUCUAUUGACACCUAGAGACACUUUGUGCAUGUGUUUAGUUUUGCAGAAAAAAUGUUAUGAAUGAAUUGAUUUUAAAUUUAAAUACGUUUAUAUAAAAAUGAGUUAAACAAUAAAUUUUAAGUUUAAUAGCAGUUUUCCCCCUCUAACAUUUACGAAAUUACAAUUUUAGUCCCUUAAGAAGAAAAAAACUACAAAACGCCCCCUAAGUUUUGUAACUGUAGUAAUUUUAGCCCCGAGACCAAUUUUUGGUAAAAAAAAUAACACGUGGCACUUCACUUUGGGUGUCACGUCAGCAUUGACCGAGUCGAAAUUGACAUUGGGGGCCAAAACUGCCACAUAUGCAAAACUUAGACUGAUUUUGUAGAUUUUUCUU
Molecule: long non-coding RNA, 2194 nt
Filed under: Medicago truncatula (barrel medic)
Lineage: Eukaryota; Viridiplantae; Streptophyta; Magnoliopsida; Fabales; Fabaceae
Description: long non-coding RNA (MTRU_LNC002163)
Source: RNAcentral